Molecule: non-coding RNA, 8990 nt
Organism: Cordylochernes scorpioides
Lineage: Eukaryota; Metazoa; Arthropoda; Arachnida; Pseudoscorpiones; Chernetidae
Source: the annotation of a GenBank genome assembly
UUGUUUGAAUCCUGAUAUACAUCCCCCGAGGUACAACCUUCUUAAGUGUUGUCCAUGAGUGUAUAAACGGUUAUUAUAGUUUUAUAUUUGAAAACUCAUAGAUCAAUCUUGAUAUUUUGCGAAACGAAAUAAAUGAGGAGAAAAACUGAGGCUACUCAUAAUAAAUUCUCUAUUUGAAAAAUAAUUUAUAAAAAAAUAUUAUAUAUCGAAAAAUGAUAUAUUUUGUGUUUUUCAAAUUUAAAAUUAUAAAGUAAUGAAACAAAACUGCAUAAAUUAUGAAAUAUAUCCUUGUUGUAUAGUUAUUAUUUAAUUUAACAUUACUCACCAGAUGAAAUUAUUAUUACAAAUUAUUUAUUACACUUUAUAUUUAUAAUUUUUACAUCAACACGUUGUUUACAUUAUACAUCGUAUUAUUAUUGUUUAUGAUGAUGAUCUAUUCUAUAUUUUAAACACAGAAUACUACAUUCCCUCCUUCCUUUAGAUGAAAGGAAUCAUGUCUUUAUAUCUUGAUGAUGGCUUGACGACUCUUCCACUCCUGGUGAUCACGGGUUCCUUGGUAGUCGGCAAGGGUGGAGAAACCUCUGGUGGCAACUGUUGAAGAGCCUCGGCAUCAAGUCUAUCUGAAACAACUGGGUUAAAUGUAGACCCUGUUCUACUUGAACUUGGUCGGUUUAAAGAAGUGUCCUUGUCUUGGUUUGAGGAAAUAUCAUCUGGUAUUUGUACAUCAGAAGAGUUGAGGUGUUCAAUUCUUGUUGAAUCUGAACUAAGAUUUUCCUGGCUCUCUUCUGGAAUCAAGUCAGAAAUGCCUUGAUUGGUCUCUUGAGUAGGAACAUGUUUCAAAUGUUUAGCAUUUCUAUGAAUUAUUUUCCCAUUUUUAGUGUUGACUAAUUUAAAAGAAUUUAUUGAAGUGUUUUCAAGAAUGACAUGAUGUUCUGAUCUGAAAUUUGAAUCAAGUUUUCCAUUAUCUGGAUUUGCCACAUAAACUAAAUUUCCAAUUUCAAAAUUAUGAGGACUAGCUUUCCGAAUUAUAUCAUUAUAUGUUUUCAUUUUUUCUUUGUAGACCAUAUUGAAUUCUUUGAUGUUGGAUUCAUCUUCUUCUGCAUCAUUAACAAGUGAGCUUAAUUUAGUUUUGAUUUCUCUUGAAAAUAAUAGGAAUGCUGGAGUCUUUCCUGUAGAUCUGUUUGGAGUAGUUCGGUAAGACAUUAAAAUUCUGGAUAAAUCUUCUUUCCAAUCUUUCCCUUCUUCAGAACUUGAAUUGAAUUGUUUCUUUAGAAAUCUAUGGAAUCUUUCUAUCUUCCCAUUACUUUUUGGGUAAUAGGGUGAGGCUUUGAUGUGCUUGAUUCCACAUUCUUUUAAAAAUCUUUCCAUUGAUGUACUUACAAACUGUAAGCCAUUAUCUGUUACAACUUCAUGUGGAUAACCAUGUCUUGCAAAAAUCUCCAUCAAUUUUUUAAUAAUUGUCUUGCUGGAAAUGUCUUCUAUUGUCAUUGCUUCAGGAUAUGAAGAAUAGUAGUCGAUCACUGUUAAAACAUAAUGAUGGCCAAUUGGACCAACUAUGUCAAUUCCAAGUUUCAUCCAAGGUUUUGAUGGUAACGGAACUAUUUGCAAUGGUUGAUCAUUUAUCAAUGGUUGAUUCCUUACACAAAUUGGACAGUUUCUUAUCAAAUUUUCAAUGUCAAAGUCCAUGUUUAUCCAAAAAUAUUUUUCUCUUAACAGUUGUUUGGUUCUUGUCAUUCCUUGAUGUGUUUCAUGUGCAAUUCUCAAGGCUCUCUUUAUUAGUUUUGAAGGUAGCAAAAUUCUACUUCCUUUUAAGAUAAGAUUAUCAAAAAUUAAGAGUUCAUCUUUAAACUUAUAAAACAUUUGAAUUCUUCAUUCAAAGGAUAUGGCCAAACUCCCUUUUGAACCAUCUCUUUCAGUUUUUGAAACAAAGGAUCUUGCUCUGUACAAACUUUUAUCUCUUUCAAAGACAGUGCUUGAAGCUCUUCAGAAGUGAUGGAUAAGACUUUAUGAACAUAGUCCUCCAACCAUUUUUCUUCACUUGUGUUAGAAAGAGGUUGUCUUGAAAAUAUAUCUGCAAUAUUUUGCUUUCCUUGAAUGAAUUCAAUUUCAAAGUCAUAUAUGGUUGUAAUCUCCAACUCAAUCUUUGAAUUCUUGGAGGCAAAACAGCUCCAUUUUUAGGAUUCAGCAUAUAGAUUAGAGGUUUGUGAUCUGUUUUAACACAAAUUUCCUUCCCCAAAUAUAGGUGUUAAAAUGUUCAAUUGCCCAUAAACAUCCCAAUGUCUCUUUUUCUAUUUGUGAAUAUCUUUUUUCAGUAUCAGUUAAGGAUCUGCUGGCAUAUGCAAUGGGUCUUUUAAUGCCAUUUUGUUGUGAUUGUAUUAAUACUGCUCCAAGACCAAUAGGGCUUGCAUCUGUGAUUAAUUCAGUUGGUGAGUUCAAGUUGUAAUAUGCCAAGCAAGGUUCUUUUGUUAGUGACUCUUUAAGAUCCUGAAAUGCUUUAUUUGUUUUCAAAUCCCAACUCCACCUAACAUUUUUUCUAGUCAAAUUAUUUAGAGGUUCUGCCAAUUUAGAAAAAUUAGGUAUGAAUUUUCUUAAAAACCCACAAGUUCCUAAGAAUGACCUUAACAUCUCAAUAUUUUUUGGUAUUGGAAAAUUUAAGACUGCUUCUAUUUUCCUAUUAUCAGGUUUAAUACCUUCACUACUAACAAUCUGACCUAAAAUAUCCAAUUCUUCCAUGGCAAAUUUGCACUUAUUCCUGCUGAGCCUAAUGCCUACUUUAUCAAAUCUUUGUAAGACUUUUCUAAGCCUUUCUUCUAGUUCUUGUCUAUCUUUGGCGUAAACUACGACAUCGUCCAAGUAACAAAUUACACCUUUCAAAUCAAGCAAAAUUGAAUCCAUUCCUUUCUGAUAUGCCUCUGGAGCACUUGAUAGACCAAAAGGAACUUUACAAAAUCUGUAACAACCACGGUGCGUGAUGAAAGUUGUAAGGGGUCUUGAUUGAGGGUCUAAGUCAACCUGCCAAAACCCUUUUUUUGCAUCCAGCUUUGCAAAUACUUUAGCACCUUUAAGGGCAUGUAACAUAUUGUCAAUUGUAGGAAUUUGAUGUCUUUCUCUCAAUAUUGCUUUAUUCACUUCCCGAAGGUCUAUGCAUAGUCUAAUUUCCUCACUAUCCCUUUUUGGAACAACUAUUAUGUUAGAAACCCAUUCAGAACCUUGAUGCACUUCUUCAAUGAUUCCAUUCUCUAGCAUCUUAUCAAGCUCUUUAUUUACUGCUUCUACCAUUGCAUAAGGUAUACGACGGCAUCUCUGGACAAUGGGUCUAUAGUUGUCUUUCAAUGUCACUUUAUGACUAUAGCCUUUUAUAGUUCCAAGUCCAUGGAAAAGAUGUUCAUGUUCUUGAACAAGAGUUUCUAUAUUAGUAGACAUUGAUUCAUUUACAUGAUUUACCCUUUUAAAUAUACCUAGUUCAAAACUAGCCUUGCCUCCCAACAAAGAUUCAACUUUUUUAUCAAUCACAUAAAUUUCUUCUGAAAAUGAAUUUUUUUUCCAAGAAAUCACAGCAUUGAAAUAACCAUAACAUGGAAGAGGUCUAUCUUGACCACAGGCAAAAAAGGUUCGGGUGGUGUCAUGUAAUUUUGGCAUAAUUUUAUGGCCAUAUAAUUCAAGCAUCUUAUUAUAGCUUAUGAAAGUUCUAUCACUCCCUGUAUCAAUUAUCAUAUUUAUUUCACUACCAUCUAUUUGCACUUUUUCCUUAUUUUCAGCACCUGUAUAGUAGGUAUAUUCAUCUGAACUUUCACCUACUUCAGUCUUAUUUUCUUCUUGUAUGGUCUUAACUUUAGUUUGAUUGAAACUUUUGUGGUUUCUAUUAUUAUUUUGAUUUGGGCGGUUCCUGCAAGCUCUAAAAAGAUGUCCUAAUUUAUUGCAAUAUGAACAAGUCAUUUUUUUAGCACCACAUUCUUGUGCUGAAUGUGUAUCUAAUCCACAGCGAUAACAUUUAGGCUUUGAGGCACCUGAAAAUGAUGGGGUACCUUGAUUAGUGAAUCUACUUUUGUUGAAAUUAUUAGCAUUAUAGUGCUUUUUAGGUUUAUUUUGAACUCUAUUUAGUGUUUGAUCAUUUUGAGGUUCAAGAAGUCUAAUUUCUUUUCUAGAAAUUUCUAACAUUCUAGCAAUAUCAAUGGUUUUUGACAGUGUCGAAUUUUCUUGUUGCAACAAUUUUUCUUUAGGUUUUUUGUUGUUACAUUUUUCAAUUAUUUGGUCUCUUAUCAUAUCAGCUUCUAAACUCCCAAAUUCACAAGAUUUAGAAAGCUCUCUUAAAGAAAUUAGGUAGUUGUCGAUCGAUUCAUCAUCUUUCUGGACUCUUUGUCUAAAUUUAAAUCUCUCAGUGACCACAUUUUUAUGAGGUGUGAAAUAUUUAUCUAAAGCCAUUUUAGUUUGUUCAUAAUUUUCCUUUUCAUCUGGCAAGUUAAAAAUAUACGUUGUACAUUUGGCCCUAAACAAUGCAAUAGAGUUGCUCUCUUAAUUUCAUCCGAUUUUUUUGAAAUUCCAGAUGCUAUUUCAAAAAUGGCAUAGGAUUCCAUCCAUUGAUUAUAUUCCGCAAAUAAAUUGCUUGCAUUCAUAUUCAUGGGUAAAGGUGGCGUCAGGUUGGCUGCCAUACUUGUUUUUAUUUUUUGUUUUUUUUUAGGGCUACAGUUAUAUUUUCAAAUUCUCGUCGCCAAUUUAUGUUGUAUAGUUAUUAUUUAAUUUAACAUUACUCACCAAAUGAAAUUAUUAUUACAAAUUAUUUAUUACACUUUAUAUUUAUAUUUUUUACAUCAACACGUUGUUUACAUUAUACAUCGUAUUAUUAUUGUUUAUGAUGAUGAUCUAUUCUAUAUUUUAAACACAGAAUACUACAAUCCUGAUAUAUGAUUAUAAAUAUUAUGCUCAAUUGUUGGAAAUAAAAAAUUAUAUACUGAGAAGUAUAUUUUGGAAUAUUUAGAAAUCCUUUAAAAUUGAAUUUGAAAUAUCAGUAAUUUUGGUGUUAUUUAUAAAAUAUAAGAAACCAAAAUCACAACUAGGUAUUCUCUGUUAUUCUCUUAAUAUACGAGAUAUAUCAACAAAAUAUUUUAGUAUGGAAAUGGAAAAAUUGGUGAUAUCGAGACUAUGAAUUAUAAUCCAUUUAAAUCUGUAGGGACACCACUCAUUCUCAAUAAUUAUUCUAGAAAAUGUAAAUUCAAUUUGUAUAUUUUAUUUUUGGUUAUAAUUGAUAGUUUAGAAAUUAUAAUCUUUUUGUAAAAAAUAUUUGUUAUCAUCAUUAAUAAUAUUGUUGCCUUCGAAUUGUAAAGUAAAAUAUAUAAAGACAUUUUAGAUAUAAGAUAUUGAAUUAAUAUGUGUGAAGAAAAAUAAAUAGUUUAAUUAUUCAAAGUUGUAAUAAUUGAGCCUCAAGAAAUUCUCAAACAUAUAUUGGUGAGCAAGGACGUGAUCCAAAUAAAGCCAAAAUAUGAAGGUAAGCCAAGCCUAAAAAAAAUAACAACUUUGAAUUAGCGAUUCCUGUUCAAGAUCCAGAUUUUAUUUUACAUAUUACCCAUUUAUAUUAUUGCUAAUUUUUCUUUUAAUAUUACCUUUAGAUAAUUUCGUCUAAUAUUUUUAAAUUUUUGCCUAUUACUUUAAUUAGAUUUUCUUUAUCAAAAUAUUAUUUUUAACAAAAAAAAAAAUGGAAUCAGAAAAUAAGCCUAGCCAAAUUGCUACAGAAUUAUGCAAAGUCAGCAUUAAGAUCCCACCUUUCUGGGUUGAAAAGCCCGAAUUAUGGUUUCAUCAGGUUGAAGCUCAGUUUGAAAUAAAUGGCCUUGUUCAGGAAGAAACGAAGUUCAAUUAUUUGAUCUCCCAGCUAGAACCGAAAUACAUGGAAAGUAUUUGGGAUAUAAUGAAUAGCAGAAGCGACACCAAAUACUCUGACUCUAAGUUGCGGCUGCUAGAAUCGUUCAGACAAAGUGAAGGUCAGAGAAUAAAACAACUUAUUUCCGGUAUUGACCUAGUAGACAUGAAGCCAAGCCAAUUACUACAAAAAUUAAGAUCCCUCGCUACCCCAGAUGUUCCUAAAAAUUUGAUUAAAACCUUAUGGCUGGACAAAUUGCCAGUCUCAAUCAAAAACAUCUUAAUAGUAACCGACGAGCAAGUUGGCCAUAAUGGCUGAUAAGAUAAAUGAAAUAAAUCCCUCAAAGGAACUAUACCAGGUAAAGGAAGCCUCAUCCCCAAUGGAACAGUUGCUCGCUAAAAUGGAAGACCUCGAAAAACAGGUGUCUGAAUUGCGACUGGAGAGGUCGAGAUCUCGAUCUGAAAAUAGGACCUAUUCAAGACCACGAAGCAAUUCUCGGAAACGCUUCAACCCUGAUGGUAAAUAUUGCUUUUACCACUUCCGUUUUGGCGCCAAAUGCUUACCAAACAAGUGCAAGCCUCCAUGUAGCUGGAAGGAGUCGGGAAACGGGAACCAGCGGCAAAACUAGCGACUAGUUUUGUUGCUGACCAAAUACAGGAUAGUCGCAAACAUCGUCUUUUUGUUAAGGACAAAGAAACGGGUCUGCAGUUCCUGAUAGACAGCGGUGCUGACGUCAGCGUAAUUCCGCCAACUGAUAAGGAUGUGCCAAGCACAAACUCUUGCUAUAUGCUGCAAAUGGUUCCAAAAUAGUAACAUUUGGCACUAAGGUGAUCAAAAUAGAUUUGGGCCUAAGGCGAUCCUUUCAGUGGUGUUUCAUCAUCGCCAAAGUGAACAAAGGAAUUAUUGGAGCUGACUUUUUAAAAUAAUUUCAAGUUGAUACUUGACAUUAGCAAUAAAAGGCUAAUUGAUGGCAUAACUAACCUCUCAAUUCGAGGUGAUGUCAUGUCCAUCGACAGCACAAGUAUCACCAGCACCAUAAACAAGAACGAAAAAUAUUACAAUAUAUUGGCACAGUUCCCCGAAAUAACUAAGCCCAAUUUUUUAAUAAAUAAAGUCAAACAUGACGUCGAACAUCACAUUAUUACAAAGGGACAACCAGUUUUCUCGAAACCAAGACCAUUGGACCCAAUGAAACUGAAAUUAGCAAAAGAGGAAUUCCAGUUCAUGCUUAAUAAUGAUAUAAUCCGCCGAUCAAGUUCACAAUGGUCAAAUCCACUGCACAUGGUCUUGAAGAAAAAUGGGACGUUUAGACCUUGUGGUGAUUACAGAAGGUUAAAUGACUGUACAGUUCCAGAUAGAUACCCAAUUCCAAGAUUAAACGAUUUUAGUCACAUACUGAACAAAAAGAAAAUAUUUUCAAAGGUCGAUCUUUUUAAGGCAUAUUUUCAAAUUCCAAUAGCCGAAGAAGAUAAGCCAAAAACUGCUAUACCACACCUUUUGGAUUGUUUGAGUUUAAUGUUAUGAGCUUUGGACUAAGGAAUGCACCAUCAACAUUCCAGAGAUGCAUCCACCAAACUCUCCAAAACCUUGAUUUUACAUUCCCAUAUCUAGAUGAUAUCCUAAUAGCUUCCGAGUCAGAAGAGGAACACCAAAACCAUCUGAAGAUAGUAUUUGAAAGAUUUAGCAAAUACGGAUUGAGAAUAAAUAUGGAAAAAUCUGUCUUUGGAGUUAAAGAAAUAUAAUUCUUGGGUUAUUUAAUUACGCCUGAAGGAUUUAGCCCACUUCCAGAACGCGUAAAAGUUAUCCAAGAAUAUAAAUUGCCUACUACGAUUCAGGAAUUACGAGCCUUUUUAGGCAUGUUAAAUUUCUACCGUCCAUUUUUGAAAGAUGCUGCGGAAACACAAUCCAUUUUGCACGAUUACCUCAAAGAUUCAAAAAAGAAAGAUAAAAGAUUAAUUAAUUGGACCGAAGAAGCAAAAGAAAUAUUCAAUAAAUGCAAGAAUGACCUAGCAAAAGCAACACUGUUAAGCUAUCUCAAUUCAGAACUACCUCUGUCGCUUUGCACAGAUGCUUCAAAUUGGGCGAUAGGCGCAGUUUUGCAACAAUACGAGAACGAAGCAUGGAAGCCAAUUGCAUUCUUCUCGAAGAAGCUAAAUGAAAGUCAAAAAAAUUAUAGUACUAAUGAUCGAGAAUUACUAAGCAUAUACAUGUCAAUCAAACAUUUCAAAUAUAUGCUGGAAGGAAGAACAUUUAAAAUAUUUACUGAUCAUAAGCCCCUAGUCUUUGCCUUCAAGCAAAGAAAUGAUAAGGCAUCUCCGAGGCAAGUUAGACAACUACAAUACAUUUCACAAUUCCCUACAGAUAUCAUCUACAUCAAAGGAGAACAAAACAUAGUUGCUGAUAACUUAUCGAGAAUAGAAGACAUCACCAAGAUAAUCGAUUAUGAUGAGAUAGCAAAAGAACAAGAUAAAGAUAUGGAACUUAUAGAACUUAUCAAAAAAAUUCGAAUAAAUCUCUAAAAUUCAAACGCUAUCCAUUACCAUCUGGUAAAAGUUUGUGGUGCGACACAUCUACUGAAAAUAUUAGACCAUUCGUUCCCAAACAAUUCAGAAUGAAAAUUUUCCAACAAAUACAUGGAUUAUCACACCCUGGAAUUAAAACAUCUGUGAAAGACAUGACAUCGAGAUUUAUAUGGCCAGACAUACAAGUAGAUAUAAAAGAAUGGGCGCAAACUUGUAUUCAACGCCAAAGAAAUAAAACUUCUCGCCAUACAAAAUCAGAAAUUAAGCAAUUUAAAGAACCUGAUGAACGUUUCAGCACGGUUCACAUAGACUUAAUCGGCCCAUUUCCACCCUCCAACGAAUAUGUUUAUUGCCUCACGUGCAUAGACCGUUUCACUGGUUGGAUUGAAGCAAUACCCAUACGAAACGAAACUGCCGAAACAGUAGCAAGAGCAUUUUACGAAGGAUGGAUCACCAGAUUUGGAGUCCCAUAUGAAGUGAUCACCGACCAAGGAAGGCAGUUCACUUCGGAAUUGUUUAAAACCUUGGCGACUUUAAGUGGAGUGAAACUUAAGCACACCACCGCAUAUCCCCCACAAAGUAACGGAAAAAUUGAAAGAUUCCAUAGAACACUAAAA